CAAGCGCUGAAGUGGCUGAUCGAGUCACAGCCACAGUCCAGAGCAAAGAGACAAACUUCCCCCUUCUUGCCUGCCUGCCUGCCUGGUGGUUUGCUUAUUAAGCUCGAGGGUAAGCACCACUCGCUACCCAUCAACCCAUCUUGGCGGCUCUUGCUUGGCUUUUUGUGGUUGAUUUUUGUUUUUUGUUUUUUGACAAGACUGGGAUUAAAACUAGGAUGUCGUGAUGCCAAGCAAGCACCUCACCAUUGAGCUACAUCUGCAGCCUGGGAUUUCUUAUCUGUCUAAAUGUAGGAAUACCCAACACAAGAAGGCAACAUACAUAUUGACAUAGAAGCACACCAUGAGCAGUAGAUUGCAUCCCUAACACCAUGAUUAAUCAAGGGCUGUCUGCAGGCAACGUGAUAGCAUACACCAAAGGCUUUGCAGAGUACACAUUCAACACCAGGACCAGUAAGGUCGGUCUAUUUGUUUCCCAGAAUGCUGUGUUUUACAAACUGUUACAUUGUUAACAUAGGGACUUCACAGAGAUUCCAAUUUCAUGGGUUUUUUCCAUAUGCUUAAUUACUAUUUCAUAUUUUUCUCAGUGAAAUAUUUCUUUAUAUCUUUUGCCCACAUGCUACUUAAACUGGGAGCUGCUGCUGCUGCUGCUGCUGCUGCUGCUGCUUCUUCUUCUUCUUCUUCUUCUUCUUCUUCUUCUUCUUCUUCUUCUUCUUCUUCUUCUUCUUCUUCUUCUUCUUCUUCUUCUUCUUCUCCUCCUCCUCCUCCUCCUCCUCCUCCUCCUCCUUCUCUCUCUUUCUCUCUCCCUCUCUCUCUCUGUGUCUCUGUCUGUGUCUCUCUUUCUCCCUAUGUUCUCAAAAUUGGCUCCAAACUCACAAUCUUCCCACCUCAGCCUCCACAGAGCUGAGAUUACAGGUGUGCAUCUCUGAACUGGUUUUGCUGUUACAUUUCAAACAUUCUUUAUCCAGGUCUGCUGUUGACUAAGUGAUUUGCAGCUACUUUCUCCACAUCUUCAUGUUUUUGUUUUGUUGUUGUUUUCUGUUUUCCAUUCCACGACAGGCUUUCUAUAGAAGAAGUAAAGGCUUACAUUUUUGUUAGGUUCAAUUCCCUCCCUGUUCCCUGCUUUUCUUUCUGAGACAGCAUCUGGUCUCACUAAGUAGAACAGGCUGGCUUUGGAACGUAAUUGUUCUGCCUCCACUCUCUGAAAGCUGGGCUUACAUGAGUGUGCUGAUCUGCCUGGCUCCAGGCUCUUGGUUUGCCUUUGCCGAUGACUGUGAGGUUUCCUUUUGGUUUCCCAUCUGACAACUCUUCACCUAAACCAAGAUCUUGAAGUUUCUUUGCUAUGCAUCUGCCUGAAGGUUGUACAAGCUCUUGUUUUGCAUACACAUUUAUUACGUAUUUCAAGUUAAUCCUUAAGCAUGAGAGUUAGGCAACAGUCUGAAUUUCUACCCAUGGGUGUUGAGUCUCUCCAGUACCCUUGCGGAGAACGAUGUCUUUGAUUCAGGAGACUUGCUCAGUGCCUCAAUCAAAGCUCCUGGGGCUUUUCUUUUCAAGGUUCUAUUUCUGGCUUUUUUUGGUUUGUUCGAUUGAUCUACAUGUUCUUUGACCAGCCAGUGCCACAGUCUUUUUUUUGCCUUAUG
This 1637-nucleotide long non-coding RNA is filed under the name Mus musculus (house mouse). RNAcentral's name for it is "predicted gene, 33843". Lineage: Eukaryota; Metazoa; Chordata; Mammalia; Rodentia; Muridae. The record is from RNAcentral.